GUAGGAUAGGUGGGAGGCUUUGAAGCGUGGACGCCAGUCUGCGUGGAGCCGACCUUGAAAUACCACCCUUUAAUGUUUGAUGUUCUAACGUGGACCCGUAAUCCGGGUUGCGGACAGUGUCUGGUGGGUAGUUUGACUGGGGCGGUCUCCUCCUAAAGAGUAACGGAGGAGCACGAAGGUUGGCUAAUCCUGGUCGGACAUCAGGAGGUUAGUGCAAUGGCAUAAGCCAGCUUGACUGCGAGCGUGACGGCGCGAGCAGGUGCGAAAGCAGGUCAUAGUGAUCCGGUGGUUCUGAAUGGAAGGGCCAUCGCUCAACGGAUAAAAGGUACUCCGGGGAUAACAGGCUGAUACCGCCCAAGAGUUCAUAUCGACGGCGGUGUUUGGCACCUCGAUGUCGGCUCAUCACAUCCUGGGGCUGAAGUAGGUCCCAAGGGUAUGGCUGUUCGCCAUUUAAAGUGGUACGCGAGCUGGGUUUAGAACGUCGUGAGACAGUUCGGUCCCUAUCUGCCGUGGGCGCUGGAGAACUGAGGGGGGCUGCUCCUAGUACGAGAGGACCGGAGUGGACGCAUCACUGGUGUUCGGGUUGUCAUGCCAAUGGCACUGCCCGGUAGCUAAAUGCGGAAGAGAUAAGUGCUGAAAGCAUCUAAGCACGAAACUUGCCCCGA
RNAcentral lists this ribosomal RNA (665 nucleotides) under Salmonella enterica subsp. enterica serovar Infantis. RNAcentral describes it as "partial 23S ribosomal RNA". It matches the Rfam family "Bacterial large subunit ribosomal RNA", at positions 2138 to 2802 of the family's 2925-position model. RNAcentral also lists the same sequence under 2 other names. Lineage: Bacteria; Pseudomonadati; Pseudomonadota; Gammaproteobacteria; Enterobacterales; Enterobacteriaceae. The record is from RNAcentral.